Nothobranchius furzeri (turquoise killifish) is the source of this 10213-nucleotide non-coding RNA. The record is from RefSeq and is a predicted model, not a curated record. NCBI's taxonomy places the organism in Eukaryota, Metazoa, Chordata, Actinopteri, Cyprinodontiformes, Nothobranchiidae.
AAUUUGUGCGUUGAGUUACUUAUUUUUUGUCAUACACAUGAAGCCGUCAUAUUCUAGCUACUCACACACACAUCUAUGGGUGCACUAAAGCCGGGCGUACACUGUGCGACUUUUUCACUCGCAGCGUUCAGCUUCAGCUCAAACUGUACGACUUCCUCGCAGGGCAGAUCUCACGAGUCAUGUGCUCACACUGUACGACCCAGUUCUCGUAUGUGAUCUGACUGCUCAUACUGUACGUCUGGUAGCAACACGUCGGCCCUAAAAAUAUGCUAAAAAUAGCAGUUUUUACACAACACGUCAGACUUUUUGGUCUUGUUUUGCCUGUUGUCCUUCGGGAGUGCUGCAGGAGGACACACAGGGAUUUAUGGGGGUUGGAUGAGGAAAACGAAAUAAAGAAAGUAAAUCUGUGUUUUGUGAUCAGUUUAAUUUGACAUGAACACGACAAACACGCUUUCUUGACAAUCUUUGUGAGUAAAAAACGUGUAGAAACAAAAACGAACAGCGUGUGUUAUUAGGGAAAUAGCGAGCGAGCGGCGUUGAUGCAGGAUUGCGCAUGCGCCGUGAGCGGUUCUGAUACUUUUUGGGUCGCAGCUGCUCGCAGCGCUGCUUCAACAGUGCGAUACCCUCACGAGGGAUGAGCAAAAUAUCAAACACUCCAGAAGUCCGUGCGACCUCACGACUGCUGAUCGGCAGCUGGUCAUGUGAUGUUAAUCGCCUCUCGUAACCCCCCUGUACACUACACGACCGCUCGGCGCAAAACUCGCCCCGAUGUCGUGGAUUCUCGCACGACUGGAAAAUCGGCUCAAAAAAGGGAAAAAGUCGCACAGUGUAUGCCCGGCUUAAGGUUUGUCUCAUGGAACGUACAUGGAGCUGGCUCUAGAGAGGAGAUUAAAGAUUUUUAAUCAGCUAAAGAGAGCCUAAGCAGACGUAAUAUUAUUACAAGAGACUCAUAGAUCUGCCACAUCCGCAGAUGAACUUAAAACACCUGAGUUUCCAAGCAUGUUCUCUGCCUGCUAUAACUCUAGGCAAAGAGGUGUAGCUAUUUUAAUACACAAAAACAUCAAUUUCACAGUAUUGGACACAGUCUCUGAUCCAGAGGGUAGAUUUAUAAUGUUAAAAAUAUCUUUACAGAACCAAAGCGUAUGUAUUGUCAGCAUAUACUGUCCAAAUAUUGAUGACCCUUCAUUCUUUCAUAAAUUUUUCUCUGUACUCUCCGAACACUUGGACUGUCCACUUAUACUUGGAGGCAUUUUAAAUUUUUGGAUGAACUCUUUAACAGACAGGCUCAGUACAGCUGGGACUCAGCGCAAUUGGCAAUCGACUAAAAUAGUUAAACAGUGCAUGAGUGAUUAUGGGCUUUGUGAGUCAUGGCGAUCUCUUCAUCCUAACCUUAGAGAGCAUACUUUUUUCUCACACGUCCAUCACUCUCAUUCAAGUUUGGAUUAUUUUCUAGUCAGCAGCUCAUUGUUGGCUGACAUUUCAGACACUGAGAUACACCCCAUAGUUGUCAGCGACCAUGCUCCGGUUUCUUUAACUCUGGUAAAUAAGAAGACAAUCCCACCAAACAAAAACUGGAGGUUUAAUACAUCACUGCUCAAAGACGAAGGUUUUAUAGAAUUUUUUAAAAAGGAGUGGGCUUUAUAUUUAGAACAUAAUGACCUGCCUGGAACAGUCAGCAUCUGUUCUCUGGGAGGCAGGAAAGGCAGUGAUGAGAGGUAAAAUAAUCUCUUUCUCAUCACAUAAUAAAAAAACAGAAAACAAACGUAUUCAGGAGUUAGAGGAAAUCAUUAAAGGAGACAUAACAUGAAAGCCCCACUUUUUUAUCCAUUAACACAGUGUGUUUCACAUUUUAAGUGUCUAAGUGAGCAAAACGGCUUAUAUUAUUCACUGGAGUUGCUAUUUAGAUAUUUAAUAAUUAAGUUUUGGGCAUAUUUGUCCACCCGUUCAGUUUUUCAAAUGACCUAUUACAUCAGUAAUUUAUUUCGUCAGGAUAACUACCAAAUAUGGUAAUGGCCCUCGGCUAAACACAGAGCCAAUCCGCCAUUUUUUCUUCUCACUAAGAUUUUUUGUAGUCCUAUUGGAAAAAUGCAGAAUGUCUGGUUAUUUUAGCCACACACAGCUCAAAACUGUUCCUCGUUUUAAGGAAGGGUGGUGUGGCAGUAUUUAAACCCAGGAGCUGAUGACGCUACUGCUAAAAAAACACAGAAGUAGUGUGUGUGUGUGUGUGUGCGCGCGCGCACGCACGUGGUUCGUUCGUUCGUUCGUGUCUCCCAGGCUAUAAGUACUGAGGGCUUCAUCUAUCUAAAAGGAGUCAUUUCUAUCUGAAUGUGGCAGCAACGGGACACAGCAGCAGAGCGAGUCCACAUCCAGAAGGCUGGAGCCAUGUUUCACUGACAGGCUGUCAGACUAACGCCCUGAUGAGCUCAGCUGGGACAAACUGGUCUGAUGUUUAGGAACACAGAACGUUCAGAUGUUGGAGCUUCACGUCACCUACUGAGGAAGGAGACGCACCAGUAAAGAGACGGUCUGGACCAGACCAAAAAUAUGGUGAUGACAUCAUGGAACUGGUCAUUGGAAAAGUUUUCCCUGAACCAACUCCUUUUCUAGAUGAGGUAGUGAAGAUCAGCAUCUCACCAACCCUCUGGUCUCAGUAAUCAGACAAUGGAGGUCUCCCACUGUUAUCCAGGACCAGUUUGAAGCCCACAUACUGCCCCUCCCUCAUCAUCAGGAAACAUCAGUUCCUAUCCUGAGGACAACAGAAGACGGCAGGAGGACAGGAACUCUGAGACACCACCAGCACCGGGACACAAAGCACCUGUGUGCACAACGCCUGUUUAACUACUAAAGCCUGUUUAUUAUAUUGUUCUACUUAUUUGCUGUGAGGUUAAUACUUAGAAAUUUUUUUAUAUUAAUGUAAACAAUUAAAAAAAAUCACUGAUUGUUUGUUUUCUUUUAGAUGUAAUGGUCCAAACUCAGCCUUGUAGACAUUUAUUGCAUCCUGUAGGUAAAUACACAGAACAGGCUCAGGUCCAGGAUGACCCAGCAUGCUCUUCUUCCAUUCUGGCUGUUAGGGAUUUUAUCAAUAACUCAAUGCCUACUGAUGUUUUGACCUAACGGCAUUUAUUUAGAAUGCAGGUAAGAUUUAACUAUAUUUGUUAGCAAAGCAGACUGAUCUUGGGAAUUUCACUGCAGCACUGAUGUCCACCUCUGUGUACACAUUAGAGAGAAUUACCACGUUACAGCUAAACACAUAUUUAAUAAAGAUAUAGGCUAUGCAUUGCAGACAAUAAAAACAAAGUUGUAAGCAGUAGAAUUAUAAUAAUCACAUUAAAGUACAUUUGGAGAAAUGUUCUUUAUUUUUGACUAGAAUCUCAAAUCUUUAAAUUAAAAUGUAACUGCUUUUUAUCCAUUUUCAGCCAUUAAGACACCCAAUAUAAAAUAAGACUACUUAUAAAAUUAUUCAUAAUUAUAUGUAUAUAUAGAUAUAGAUGGAUAGAGAUCUUAAUAAAAUGUAUUCUUUUAAUGGUGUUUUAAUGAGCUGUAUCAUUUUAAAAAACAUUUUUUAUAGAAAUAAAUAAGCAAGCAGCAUUCCUUGUGUGUGUGUGUGUGCGCGCGUGCCUGCUCACUUGUCCCUCCGUCGGCCGUGACGGGUGUGUGUGAGUGACUACAGACAAAUGCAUGAGAAGAGUUAGCAGCCUUGAAACAGCCUGAUGAACAACUCUCCCCACAUGUUUUAAAAAUGCUUAUGCUAAAUAAUGAUUUCUCUAUAGAACUAAAAAGUCCGACUGGGGGAGGAGAGUACAGGUCUGCACUGUGGAGGGGGGCGUAGUUUACAGCUCCUCCAGAUUUAAAGAGACAGUACCCAAAAACGGCUCGUUCUCAAGACUCUCCUCAGAACAGAGGUAGAUGAGGGUCUGUAGAGCAACAAUAAUGAGGAAAUCAGACCAAAGAACUGCAGUUCCACUGUAUUUAGACCCCAACUGAAGGAUUUAGAUGUAAAAAGGAAUAACUUAAAAGCAUGUUAUGCCUCCUUUAAGUCUUUAGAGGCAUCCACAGAAGAAGAGUUAAUGAGCAAAUUACGUAAAGCUCAACUAGAACUUCAUGGAAUUAUCGACAAAAAGACAAAAUUUUUAGCACAAAGACUACGAAUAGAAAACUUUGAACAUAGUAAUAAAUCAGGCAAAUUUUUCGCUAGCCAGUUAAAAAGAGAAAACUACCAUAUCUGCUGUUAAAGACUCAACCGGGAAUAUAGUUUAUGACCCUGAAAGAAUAAACAACACUUUCAGAGACUUUUACCAAACUCUGUACUCACCACAGAUAACCCCAUCAGAUAAUGAGAUCAAUGAAUUUCUUCACAGGAUAACGCUUCCUAAAUUAUCAGAUAGCCAAGCUACAGUCCUGGACUCGCCACUAACAUCAGCUGAGCUCCAGGAAGCCCUUAAAUCCAUGACUAAUAGGAAAGCUCCAGGUCCAGAUGGGUUUCCAGCAGAGUUCUACAAAGAAUUCUGGAUCAUUCUGGCUUCAACAUUCUUCAGAAUGGUGAGGGAAAUCGAAGAGAGCGGCAGAUUACAGCCAAACAUGAAUUCAGCCAAUAUUAGUCUUUUGUUAAAACCAGACAAAGACCCUGUAUUUCCUACCAGCUAUUGCCCAAUUUCUCUUAUUAAUGUUGAUCUCAAAAUAAUUUGUUAAGCCCUGGCAAAAAGAGUAGAGAAGGUAACCCCCUUCAUAAUACACCCUGACCAAACUGGUUUCAUUAAGGGGAGACAGUCAUCCACAAACUCACGUAGAUUACUUAAUUUGAUAGAUUUCUCUUGCAGUAGAAACAUAGAAACUAGUAUAUAAUCUUUAGAUGCAGAAAAGGCUUUUGAUAGAGUUAACUGGAAGAUCUUAUUUGCAACUUUAUAUAAAUUUGGUUUUGGGAACUUCUUCAUAAACUGGCUACAAACAUUAUACAGUUCACCAACAGCACGUGUCAGGACAAUCGACCAAAUAUCAGCUAGCUUUUGUCUUCAGAGGUGGACCAGGCAGGGAUGCCCACUCUCCCCCUCACUGUUUGCUAUCUUUAUAAAACCACUACCAGCAGCAAUCAGGCAAACAACAGGUAUUAAAUGCAUAAAGUGUAAGAACAUAGAACAUAAAAUCAGUCUUUAUGCAGAUGAUGUUACUUUUUCUCCAGAAUUCUCAAUCCUCUCUCUCAAAAGCAAUUGAACUGAUAAACUCUUUCAACACUUUCAGAUUACACAAUAAACCAGCUAAAAUCCACAGUUCUACCAAUUAAUUUUUCUUUUGUCAAUUUGCUUAAUACACGAUUGUAGUCAGGGAAUAUCACAUACCUGGGAAUUAAUAUCUCUCCCAAGCUGGCAGAUCUAACUAAACUAAACUACAUCCCACUUUUAAAGAAAGUGGAAAAUCUUGCAAGCUGUAAAUCCUACCAAUAUCACUCAUGGGGAGUGUUGCUACAAUUAAAAUGAUGGUCUUACCCAGAAUAAAUUACUUAUUUUCAACUAUCCCAAACGAGCCACCAUCUGACUGGUUUAGAUCUCUGGACUCCUUAAUCACUAAACUCUUUGGCAGGAUAAACCUCCACGAAUUAGCUUAAAAACGCUUCAGAAUACCAAAGACAGAGGAGGACUGGAUCUACCCAACUUUUAUCAUUAUUUCUUAGCCAACAGGCUGCAAUAUAUACCAAGAUGGUUGCAAGAUAACCUACUAGAUGAGUCCUGGUUAGAUAUAGAACAGACACUUUGCAAUACGAUAGAGCUUUCAGGCUUACCAUUUAUUAGCUCAAGCAUAAGACAACAAAAAGUCUUCAAAAGUAUUAAUAUCAGCACCUCUCUGGCAGCAUGGUGGGAGUAUCUAAAAAUUCCAGAGUUCACUAAUACCAUGCAGAUGCACACCCAUCUGGAAUAAUCCUGAUAUUUUGCAAAACAAUAAAAUUAUGAACUUUCUGGACUGGAAAAAUAAAGGAAUCCUAUACCUGGAACACAUAUAUGAAGGAUCGGACUUCAUCCCAUUUAACAGAACAGUCUCCCAAUUUGGGAUAGACAAACAUAUUUUUUUAGAAUAUCACCAAAUUAAAUCUGUAAUUAAACAAAAAUGUAAGCUUAAUAAAGUUGAAUUACAAACACCUCCAAGGUCAGUGUUGGGAGUAAUGCGGUACGAAAGUAAUUAAUUACUGUAAUGCAUUGCUUUUUGCUGUAAUGUGGUAAUGUAAGGCAUUACAGGGAAAGAAAAUGGUAAUAUUUACUCGGUACAAUCGUCAGUAACGUGGUAAUUACAAUGCAUUUUUAAACCCAGAAUCAAGUGUUCCUUAAAAAUUCAAAUUGCGGGAACCCCGAAGAAAGAUCCAGUAUCUGCAUAUAUUACGUCAUUUAUGGACUCAGCUUUGCGCCGCGGUAACGGCUCAACUACUCCAGCUGCGUUCUGCACGCGGCCGCUGUAACAUUCACAAAAUCGCUCCACUAAAACAAAAUAAUUCACCUGCGAUCGUUCAUAUCAGCGCAUAUUCUCUAGUAUUUUGUGCUUUUCUGAUGUGCUUUGCCUCAGCUGAGUUCAUAAUCUGUGCCCCGGUGAUUUCAACUCAUUGUUGCUGGAGCGCCGCGCAUGUGAAGAUCCCUUUGGCUGAUAGUUAGAAAGUACGAAGUCUAGGAAACAGUUUUUUCUGGAAGACGGAGAAAACAUGCAGCAUGCAGGAAGGUUAGAGAGAGAAAGGGCAGGAAAUUAUUCACAUAAAAUCAAGAAAACAAAACAAAGUGCUUGAAAAGAAAAAAAAUAGGUAGAUUUAUCCCCAAUACACAUUUUUACCAGUGAAAAGCAAUAAUAGAUAAGCAUUUAAUAUUUAUACAUGUGAUAGAAUCAGAUCACUCCAGAAGUCAGUCCCACAUCCAGGGCCGUAUCAAGGCAUUUGGGGACCAAGGCAAAUAUAGGCUUGGAGCCCCCACCACCUCACUCCCUGAUCAGUUAAUAUAAGAUGGCAGCGUGCUGAGAGUACAGAUUGUUGUUGUUUUUAUUUAACAAACAAUCAUUUUAAAGCACUGUUAUUAUAUCUGACUGUUUUUAACAGCAAUCCUAGCUCAGACACCACAUCACUUUCCACAUAUAUGUCAUGAGCUCACUGAGCGUCACAUUACCAGAUUCAUAUUGAAGUUGUUUUGGUGAAAGUAACUUAAAGUAAUGCAAAAGUAGUGUAAUGCCUUACAUUUUAAAAUCAGUAAUAUUGUAAUGUAAUGAAUUACUUUAAAAUGAGGGUAACAAGUAAUAAAUAAUGCAUUACAGUUUUGAAGUAACUUGCCCAACACUGUCCAAGGUUAUUAGACUUCUGUAACCUCAAACGCCCCAAACUACUGUCUAAAGUUUAUAAGACACUGUCCAAAAUGGACAAUACAAUAGCAAUUCCUAUUGGAAAAUGGGAGGUGGAUCUAUCAGUCAGCUUUGACGGUCGCCCCUGUGAGGGGAUCUGGGCGGGGUCCUGGGGAUUGGGUACUAACUUGAAAGCUGCCGGGAGGAAGGUGGAAACACAUGGCAGAGGCUGGCCCAGGCUCAGGGGCCCCAGGUGGAACUUGGCUCCUCUGAAAUAAUGGUAACAAUUCUGUUCCAUCAUGGGGGAGGGGGAUGUCCAGAAGGAGGAGGACCUUAGGGGGGGCUUAGGUCGGGUUUUCACAGCAUUCCUGUCUGCAUUCCUUUGUGGGGGGUUUUAGUUGAUUGCAGCUCAAGGCUACCAGGGUGUCAGAUUCAGAUAACAAGAAUUUGUUUGGAUUAGGCUGAGAUAACUUUCCUCUCUGCCAUCAGUCUUUAAACUGAUCAUUUCCAGUCCUUCAGUGAAGCCAAUUUUGGGUUUUAAACUUAAACUUGUUCAUACCGUCCGGUCACUCUCUCCGAGAUGACAUCCAUUUUGUGCACUAAUACCGGUAUCGCAGCUAGAACAUUGUCCAGCUUACAAUUCACCUCGAGUAACGUCCCAGUCUGAGAAAUCUUCACACGGACGGUGCUUUCCGUGGGUGCGGGUCACCCUCCAAUCGCUCUUGUCCUCCCAAAUUUCCAGAAAACCAGAUAUCCUCCCACUCCUAUCAGGAGAAAUCCAGUGAUCAUCAGGCCAAAUAUCCACAUGUCUUCAAUGUCCUCAAUGGACACCUGGGAGAGGCAUAUGAUCUUCCACUCCUUUUAGGAAUCCAAAACAUAUCCCACCGGGUGCGUCCCCUGUGGACAUGUGGGAGCCCCCUGCUCCGUUCUAAUUGUUGAAAAAUUUUUAUCGAUCACAUUGAAUGACCAGUUUAUCAAAUCCAUGGUUAGUAAAAAUAGUUUUUCAGAAGAAAUGCAGAGAAGUACUCUGUGGGCAGACAGGACAAAGAGGCUUGGGGAAAAAAGAUAAGGGAGUGAUAGAGGGAAGCGUCUGUACUCUUCGAGUGCCAGAAGAAGAAUGGUGCUGGGCAUGCCCAUUUAAAGCCAUAGUAAAUUUGCUUUCAUCCAUUGCGCUGUGUUGUAUCUGUGUUUUGUUGCGGAGCAAAACAGUUCCUGUCCCCCAUUUGAGUUUUGCUCGGCUGCAGACAUCACGUGAGUGAAACCUAGCAAUGAACACCUGUUAUGAAAAGGCUGUGCCAUCCAGCAGUCUGGGAGGCAACUGUGCAUGGGUUCUGCUGUCUCCCAGGCCUCAUCUUGGUUUUAAACCCCUUUUGUGUUGAGAAGGUUAACUAAAAUUGUUAGCUGGAGAUGGAGAUCCAUAGAGGAUUUGAGGUUUGACUGCUCAGACAGUCUAAGCUAGGGUAAUUUCCUCUUUGACAUUAAGGUUAACUAACUCUGAUUGAUCAACAGUAAAACUUUUAUCAUAUUUUUAACCAGGUGUUUAAUGCAAAUCUUAUUGUAAAUGGCUUUUAAUAAAGAUUUACAAUUUUUGCUUGGCAAUAUUUUUAUAAUGCACACGCGUAAAUUUUACAUCAGAGUCGGUGUGUAACAAACACCAGUGCAUGAAAACAUUUCACAAGAUAAAGCAAUAACAUUAAAAGUAAAGUUAAAAAAUCUUUAUAACACAAAAUAGUUCAUAAAAGCAAUUAAAAUGCAAAAAGCUCAUAGGUUGAAAGCCAAAGAAAAUAGUGGGUCUUUGACAAUUGUUUUAUCUUUUCUAGUCAGGAGACCUUUCUGAAAUGUGCUGGCAUAGUUCCACCGUUUGGGAUCAGCAACAGGGAAGACCUCUCUGUCCCCUCUGAGCUGGUCGGAUGACCCGAGUGACCGAGAUGAGGAUUGUUCCUGCAGUAGCUCAGAGAAUUAGGAUGGAGCAAGAUUGUGUAACGAUUUAGAAACAUUUAAGAGAAGUUUCUGAGUUGUCUGCACCAUGAUAAACCAGACCUGUCUGUGUGUAAAUGACAUGGGACCAGUGGCGGUUUUACCAUUAGGCAUAGGUCGGCGGCCGCCUGGGGCCACCUUAUGUUGGGGGGCCCCCUAGCCCUGACUGUUGGCACCCCUCUGUUAAUGCCAAAAUGGACUAUUCCUUUAAGACGCCAAUGCACAAACAGGGAGUGAUUGGUAGUCAUUCCAGUCCAAACCAGUUGGUGACAGUAAUGCACCAAAUUGUUGUUUGCCAAGUGCCAUAAGACCACAAACAAGAAGAAGAGAAAGCAGAAAAAGAAGAAGGGAGGGGGGAGUGUUCAUAACAAACUUGAAGCGGUAGUCAAAACAUGAAGCAUGAAAUGGAGUUAUCCUAGUGGCUCCAGUAAGAGAAAGAAGCAGCUUGCUUUAAAAAAGCUUUUAUCUUCAUUUCUAAAAGUGACGUCAAUUUUCUAUGUAAACAUCAAAAGGAAGCAGAAAGGAAAGACAAUGGAAAAUGUUUAAAGGGAGGAAAACAUAGACCAAAAUGGAAAAUAGAAAAUAAAAUAAAGGCAAAAGCAUAGGAGCACGGACAGGAAGAAGAAAGCAGAGCAAAUAUUGAAAGCACUCAAAGGGAGAGAAAGACAGGAAAAAAAAAGAGGAGGACUAAUAAAAAGUGAAAACAACUCACCUCAGAUGAGGGUAGAGUUUCGCUAAUCCAAUUACUGUAAGAUUGUCAAAAUUUAGUGUAAGGGGGCUCCAUGUCUGUGUACGCCUUGGGCCCCCAAAUUGCUAUAUCCGCCACUGCAUGGGACACACACAUCCUGUCCUAUCCCAGCCCACCCUGGCCCCUUCUUCCCAACUGACUCAUUGAUAGGGUGCUUUCCUCUUGUCCUUGCCCUUGGCCUUACAUGCC